GAUGAACGCUAGCUCCAGGCUUAACACAUGCAAGUCGAGGGGCAGCAUUUUAGUUUGCUUGCAAACUGAAGAUGGCGACCGGCGCACGGGUGAGUAACACGUAUCCAACCUGCCGAUAACUCGGGGAUAGCCUUUCGAAAGAAAGAUUAAUAUCCGAUGGUAUAUUAAGAUCGCAUGAUUUUACUAUUAAAGAAUUUCGGUUAUCGAUGGGGAUGCGUUCCAUUAGGUUGUUGGUGAGGUAACGGCCCACCAAGCCUUCGAUGGAUAGGGGUUCUGAGAGGAAGGUCCCCCACAUUGGAACUGAGACACGGUCCAA
RNAcentral lists this ribosomal RNA (316 nucleotides) under uncultured bacterium. RNAcentral's name for it is "bacterial SSU rRNA". It matches the Rfam family "Bacterial small subunit ribosomal RNA", at positions 28 to 334 of the family's 1533-position model. The record is from RNAcentral.